Molecule: transfer RNA, 85 nt
Filed under: Felis catus (domestic cat)
Lineage: Eukaryota; Metazoa; Chordata; Mammalia; Carnivora; Felidae
Rfam family: tRNA
About the family: Transfer RNA (tRNA) molecules are approximately 80 nucleotides in length. Their secondary structure includes four short double-helical elements and three loops (D, anti-codon, and T loops).
Source: Rfam by way of RNAcentral
GCCUGGGGGGCUCAGUUGGUUGAGCAUCUGACUUUGACUCAGGUCAUGAUCUCACAGUUCAUGGGUUCAAGCCCCGCAUCAGGCU